Molecule: ribosomal RNA, 272 nt
Filed under: uncultured bacterium
Lineage: Bacteria
Description: partial small subunit ribosomal RNA
Rfam family: Bacterial small subunit ribosomal RNA
Source: RNAcentral
AGAAUCAACGCUGGCGGCGUGCCUAACACAUGCAAGUCGAACGCGAAAGUGGAGCAAUCCAUGAGUAGAGUGGCAAACGGGUGAGUAACGCGUGGGCGACCUACCUUCGAGUGGGGGAUAACCUUCCGAAAGGAGGGCUAAUACCGCAUGACAUCCCGUGUUUGGAUACACGGACAUCAAAGCUGGGGAUCGUAAGACCUGGCGCUUGAAGAGGGGCCCGCGUCCGAUUAGCUAGUUGGUGAGGUAACGGCUCACCAAGGCUCCGAUCGGUA